UUUCUUUUCUCCUUCUCUUUCAGGCCAAUGGAAUCACUUAUGAAAGCAGCUCUAGGAGUUCCUGUCAUUGUAUAUUCCAUCUCAAGGAAGCUCAGUCUGAAAAUUGACAGUGAAUGUACAAUGGAACAACCCCAAAACUGACUAAGUGGAGAGCCCACUUAAAAGAAAUGAUUCCAGAUUAAUUGGCCGUGAAGAAGUAACAAGGGAAAAAUAACUCUGGAGCUGAAAAGAGAAAUAAUAUACUACCUUUAGAAAGCAACAUCUACUGUUCUUGGCUUGGACAAUGUACUAAAGCUAAAGUGCAGGCAGCACUGCAAUGCACAUACAAAAGGAUGGAGCUUGAAUUGUGAUCUCAAAAUGCAAGUGUUGUCAUUCUGGCAUCAUCGGGGUUAGGAACAGAUGCCUGUGGCCUACAUUUACCUCAUUCUCUAGUGCUAAUGUAGCUGGGUACUGUGAAUCCUAAACUCACCCAUUUAAUUUUCUAUUUAAAUAGGAAGGUUUAUUCCAUACAAGUAAUGAUAAGGUCAAGGCUGAAGCUUUUCUAACUUAUUUAUUUGGACUCAGCACCACCAUGGAUCAAAAGCUUAGAAAUAAGUUCCAAGCAUCCAGGUGAGAUGACACCAGAGGAUUCCAGCCUGGCAGAUUUAUGGAAACUUUAGUUCAACCUGGAUCAGUUCAGCUGUCUCCAGGGCUCCUGCAGUGGCAGUCGAUGAAAAAAACAUCCAUAUUGGUGGAAGUCUGCUUGCUUAGAAAAUGUUUUUACAAUGAGACUAAGAAAAUAUAUGAAGUGGACUCCAGUGACUUUCUUGCUUCUUGUCACUACAAGAUUCAGAGGCACCACCCCACCAGUGGAAAAAAAUCAAAAGAAUACUCUGAUUUACUGUGUUAUGGAAACCAUCACAAUCUCUGCA
This is a non-coding RNA of Python bivittatus (Burmese python), 911 nucleotides long. NCBI's taxonomy places the organism in Eukaryota, Metazoa, Chordata, Lepidosauria, Squamata, Pythonidae. The record is from RefSeq and is a predicted model, not a curated record.